This 440-nucleotide ribosomal RNA is filed under the name uncultured bacterium. RNAcentral describes it as "partial 16S ribosomal RNA". It matches the Rfam family "Bacterial small subunit ribosomal RNA", at positions 338 to 795 of the family's 1533-position model. The record is from RNAcentral.
CCUACGGUGUGCAGCAGUAGGGAAUAUUGCUCAAUGGGGGAAACCCUGAAGCAGCAACGCCGCGUGGAGGAUGAAGGUUUUAGGAUUGUAAACUCCUUUUGUGAGAGAAGAUACUGACGGUAUCUCACGAAUACGCACCGGCUCACUCCGUGACAGCAGCCGCGGUAAUACGGAGUGUGCACGCGUUACUCGGUAUCACUGGGCGUAAAGAGUGCGCAGGAGGGCUUGUAAGUCAGAUGUGAAAGGCUGUAGCUUAACUACAGAAUUGCAUUUGAAACUAUGAGUCUAGAGUGUGGGAGAGGUAGGUGGAAGUCGUGGUGUAGGGGUAAAAUCCGUAGAUAUCAAGAGGAAUACUCAUUGCGAAGGCGACCUACUGGAACAUUACUGACGCUCAUGCACGAAAGCGUGGGGAGCAAACAGGAUUAGAUACCCGAGUAGUC